AGAGCUUGGAUUAAUAGUGAUGGGAUCUUCUUACGUGUUUCUGUUGAUUUGAUUUCUGGAAUUGGAGAUAAUGGGUUGUUUUGGAAAGAAGAAGGUAAGAAGCUUGACCUGAACAUCAAGAGGAGGAAAGCAAGGAAGAAACCAAAGAUGAGAAGCUUGACCUGAAUAGGCAAUUGAGUUGCAGAUCCCAUUUUUGAACUGUGUUCGAAUUGGGUUUAGGGUUGGAA
Telopea speciosissima is the source of this 227-nucleotide long non-coding RNA. RefSeq lists it as uncharacterized. Lineage: Eukaryota; Viridiplantae; Streptophyta; Magnoliopsida; Proteales; Proteaceae. The transcript is spliced from 3 exons. The record is from RefSeq and is a predicted model, not a curated record.